This 24-nucleotide non-coding RNA is filed under the name Cricetulus griseus (Chinese hamster). The record is from RNAcentral. Lineage: Eukaryota; Metazoa; Chordata; Mammalia; Rodentia; Cricetidae.
GCAUAUAGAUUCUGGAAUUGGGGU